GUUAAGUAAUCCACCUGGGGAGUACGCCGGCAACGGUGAAACUCAAAGGAAUUGACGGGGGCCCGCACAAGCGGAGGAACAUGUGGUUUAAUUCGAUGAUACGCGAGGAACCUUACCCGGGUUUGAACGCAUUUGGACAGUCCUUGAAAGAGGAUCUCUAGUAAUAGCCAUUUGCGAGGUGCUGCAUGGUUGUCGUCAGCUCGUGCCGUGAGGUGUCGGCUUAAGUGCCAUAACGAGCGCAACCCUUAUCUUUAGUUACUAACAGGUCAAGCUGAGGACUCUAAAGAGACUGCCAGCGUAAGCUGUGAGGAAGGUGGGGAUGACGUCAAAUCAGCACGGCCCUUACAUCCGGGGCGACACACGUGUUACAAUGGUGGGGACAAAGGGCAGCUACACAGCGAUGUGAUGCAAAUCUCCAAACCCCAUCUCAGUUCGGAUCGAAGUCUGCAACCCGACUUCGUGAAGCUGGAUUCGCUAGUAAUCGCGCAUCAGCCAUGGCGCGGUGAAUAC
RNAcentral lists this ribosomal RNA (510 nucleotides) under uncultured bacterium. RNAcentral's name for it is "bacterial SSU rRNA". It matches the Rfam family "Bacterial small subunit ribosomal RNA", at positions 859 to 1369 of the family's 1533-position model. The record is from RNAcentral.